CAGGCGGUUUGAUAANUCUGAAGUUAAAGGCUGUGGNUCAACCAUAGUUCGCUUUGGAAACUGUCAAACUUGAGUGCAGAAGGGGAGAGUGGAAUUCCAUGUGUAGCGGUGAAAUGCGUAGAUAUAUGGAGGAACACCGGUGGCGAAAGCGGCUCUCUGGUCUGUAACUGACGCUGAGGCUCGAAAGCGUGGGGAGCGAACAGGAUUAGAUACCCUGGUAGUCCACGCCGUAAACGAUGAGUGCUAGGUGUUGGAUCCUUUCCGGGAUUCAGUGCCGCAGCUAACGCAUUAAGCACUCCGCCUGGGGAGUACGACCGCAAGGUUGAAACUCAAAGGAAUUGACGGGGGCCCGCACAGGCGGUGGAGCAUGUGGUUUAAUUCGAAGCAACGCGAAGAACCUUACCAGGUCUUGACAUCCCGAUGCUAUUUCUAGAGAUAGGAAGUUACUUCGGUACAUCGGUGACAGGUGGUGCAUGGUUGUCGUCAGCUCGUGUCGUGAGAUGUUGGGUUAAGUCCCGCAACGAGCGCAACCCCUAUUGUUAGUUGCCAUCAUUCAGUUGGGCACUCUAGCAAGACUGCCGGUAAUAAACCGGAGGAAGGUGGGGAUGACGUCAAAUCAUCAUGCCCCUUAUGACCUGGCUACACACGUGCUACAAUGGUUGGUACAACGAGUUGCGAGUCGGUGACGGCGAGCUAAUCUCUUAAAGCCAAUCUCAGUUCGGAUUGUAGGCUGCAACUCGCCUACAUGAAGUCGGAAUCGCUAGUAAUCGCGGAUCAGCACGCCGCGGUGAAUACGUUCCCGGGCCUUGUACACACCGCCCGUCACACCACGAGAGUUUGUAACACCCGAAGUCGGUGAGGUAACCUUAUGG
RNAcentral lists this ribosomal RNA (872 nucleotides) under uncultured bacterium. Its description in RNAcentral is "bacterial SSU rRNA". It matches the Rfam family "Bacterial small subunit ribosomal RNA", at positions 572 to 1446 of the family's 1533-position model. The record is from RNAcentral.